GAUCAUUACAGAGUUGCAAAACUCCCUAAACCAUUGUGAAUCUACCUGUCCGUUGUUGCUUCGGCGGGCGGCCCCAGGGCGGGGCCGUGGCUGCGAGGCGUCCGCCGAAGCACCCCCAAACGCUCUGUUUUCAGUGGUCUUCAGAAUACUAUAGCGAAUUAAAAACAACUUUCAACGAUGGAUCUCUUGGCUCCAGCAUCGAUGAAGAACGCAGCGAAAUGCGAUACGUAAUGUGAAUUGCAGAAUUCCGUGAAUCAUCGAAUCUUUGAACGCACAUUGCGCCCGCCAGCAUUCUGGCGGGCAUGCCUGUCCGAGCGUCAUUUCGACCCUCAAGCCCCCCGGGGCUUGGUGUUGGGGCAUUCUACAGCGUCUGUAGUCCCCGAAAUGCAGUGGCGGGCUCGCCGAGUCUCCGAGCGUAGUAGCACCUAUUUCGUUCUGGACGGCCCGGUGGGCGCUAGCCGUUAAACCCCCUACUUUCUUAGUACUGGUUUGACCUCGGAUCAGGUAGGAAUACCCGCUGAACUUAAGCAUAUCAAUAAGCGGAGGAAAAGAAACCAACAGGGAUUGCCCCAGUAACGGCGAGUGAAGCGGCAACAGCUCAAAUUUGAAAUCUGGCUCCUUCUGGGGUCCGAGUUGUAAUUUGUAGAGGAAGCUUUUGGUGCGGCGCCUUCUGAGUUCCCUGGAACGGGACGCCACAGAGGGUGAGAGCCCCGUAUAGUCGGACGCCAAACCUUUGUAAAGCUCCUUCGACGAGUCGAGUAGUUUGGGAAUGCUGCUCAAAAUGGGAGGUAAAUUCCUUCUAAAGCUAAAUACCGGCUGGAGACCGAUAGCGCACAAGUAGAGUGAUCGAAAGAUGAAAAGCACUUUGAAAAGAGGGUUAAACAGCACGUGAAAUCGUUGAAAGGGAAGCGCUUGUGACCAGACGUGCGCCCGGGGGAUCAUCCAGCGUUCUGCGCUGGUGCACUCCGCCGGGCGCAGGCCAGCAUCGGUUUCCUCAGGGGGAUAAAAGCGGCGGGAACGUAGCUCCUUCGGGAGUGUUAUAGCCCGUCGUACAAUACCCCUGGGGGGACCGAGGU
Molecule: ribosomal RNA, 1076 nt
Filed under: fungal endophyte
Lineage: Eukaryota; Fungi
Description: eukaryotic LSU rRNA
Rfam family: Eukaryotic large subunit ribosomal RNA (bases 491-1076)
Source: RNAcentral